GAUGAACGCUAGCUACAGGCUUAACACAUGCAAGUCGAGGGGCAGCGAGGGCGUAGCAAUACGCCUGUCGGCGACCGGCGCACUGGUGAGUAACACGUAUGCGACCUGCCCCCUACAGGGGUAUAACCCGUAGAAAUGCGGACUAAUCCCCCAUAGUUCUGAGUGCUGCAUGGCAUUCAGGGGAAAGGCCAGCCGGUAGGGGAUGGGCAUGCGGCGCAUUAGCUAGUUGGCGGGGCAACGGCCCACCAAGGCGACGAUCAGUAGCCGACCUGAGAGGGUGACCGGCCACAUUGGGACUGAGACACGGCCCAA
RNAcentral lists this ribosomal RNA (312 nucleotides) under uncultured bacterium. Its description in RNAcentral is "bacterial SSU rRNA". It matches the Rfam family "Bacterial small subunit ribosomal RNA", at positions 28 to 334 of the family's 1533-position model. The record is from RNAcentral.